This 90-nucleotide transfer RNA is filed under the name bacterium. Its description in RNAcentral is "tRNA-Ser". It matches the Rfam family "tRNA". From Rfam's summary of the family: Transfer RNA (tRNA) molecules are approximately 80 nucleotides in length. Their secondary structure includes four short double-helical elements and three loops (D, anti-codon, and T loops). The record is from RNAcentral.
GGAGAGGUGACCGAGUGGCCGAAGGUGCACGCCUGCUAAGCGUGUGUAGGGUAACACUUACCGAGGGUUCGAAUCCCUCCCUCUCCGCCA